GACGAACGCUGGCGGCGUGCUUAACACAUGCAAGUCGAACGGAAAGGGCCUGCUUUUGUGGGGUGCUCGAGUGGCGAACGGGUGAGUAACACGUGAGUAACCUGCCCUUGACUUUGGGAUAACUUCAGGAAACUGGGGCUAAUACCGGAUAGGAGCUCCUGCUGCAUGGUGGGGGUUGGAAAGUUUCGGCGGUUGGGGAUGGACUCGCGGCUUAUCAGCUUGUUGGUGGGGUAGCGGCUUACCAAGGCUUUGACGGGUAGCCGGCCUGAGAGGGUGACCGGCCACAUUGGGACUGAGAUACGGCCCAGACUCCUACGGGAGGCAGCAGUGGGGAAUAUUGCACAAUGGGCGGAAGCCUGAUGCAGCAACGCCGCGUGCGGGAUGACGGCCUUCGGGUUGUAAACCGCUUUCGCCUGUGACGAAGCGUGAGUGACGGUAAUGGGUAAAGAAGCACCGGCUAACUACGUG
This 468-nucleotide ribosomal RNA is filed under the name uncultured bacterium. RNAcentral describes it as "partial 16S ribosomal RNA". It matches the Rfam family "Bacterial small subunit ribosomal RNA", at positions 28 to 507 of the family's 1533-position model. The record is from RNAcentral.